RNAcentral lists this ribosomal RNA (118 nucleotides) under Salmonella enterica. RNAcentral describes it as "partial 23S ribosomal RNA". The stretch from base 1 to 106 matches the Rfam family "Bacterial large subunit ribosomal RNA", at positions 2820 to 2925 of the family's 2925-position model. The record is from RNAcentral. Lineage: Bacteria; Pseudomonadati; Pseudomonadota; Gammaproteobacteria; Enterobacterales; Enterobacteriaceae. RNAcentral also lists the same sequence under 1 other name.
AGGUCUCCUGAAGGAACGUUGAAGACGACGACGUUGAUAGGCCGGGUGUGUAAGCGCAGCGAUGCGUUGAGCUAACCGGUACUAAUGAACCGUGAGGCUUAACCCUACAACGCCGAAG